Molecule: ribosomal RNA, 374 nt
Filed under: uncultured Gaiellaceae bacterium
Lineage: Bacteria; Bacillati; Actinomycetota; Thermoleophilia; Gaiellales; Gaiellaceae
Description: bacterial SSU rRNA
Rfam family: Bacterial small subunit ribosomal RNA
Source: RNAcentral
UACGUAGGGGGCAAGCGUUGUCCGGAUUUAUUGGGCGUAAAGAGCGUGUAGGCGGUCAGGUAAGUCUGACGUGAAAUGUCGAGGCUCAACCUCGAAAGGUCGUUGGAAACUGCUUGGCUAGAGUCCGGAAGAGGAGAGUGGAAUUCCUGGUGUAGCGGUGAAAUGCGCAGAUAUCAGGAAGAACACCUAUGGCGAAGGCAGCUCUCUGGGACGGUACUGACGCUGAGACGCGAAAGCGUGGGGAGCGAACAGGAUUAGAUACCCUGGUAGUCCACGCCGUAAACGAUGGGUGCUAGGUGUGGGCGGUGUCGACUCCGUCCGUGCCGAAGCUAACGCAUUAAGCACCCCGCCUGGGGAGUACGGCCGCAAGGCUA